GAACCGGUAGUGUAGUGGUGCAGCAUGUCGCGUCUGGAUGUGAAGACGAAUGGUUCGAAUCCCUCCCGGUCCA
Molecule: transfer RNA, 73 nt
Filed under: Gongylonema pulchrum
Lineage: Eukaryota; Metazoa; Nematoda; Chromadorea; Rhabditida; Gongylonematidae
Rfam family: tRNA
About the family: Transfer RNA (tRNA) molecules are approximately 80 nucleotides in length. Their secondary structure includes four short double-helical elements and three loops (D, anti-codon, and T loops). Further hydrogen bonds mediate the characteristic L-shaped molecular structure. tRNAs have two regions of fundamental functional importance: the anti-codon, which is responsible for specific mRNA codon recognition, and the 3' end, to which the tRNAs corresponding amino acid is attached (by aminoacyl-tRNA synthetases). tRNAs cope with the degeneracy of the genetic code in two manners: having more than one tRNA (with a specific anti-codon) for a particular amino acid; and 'wobble' base-pairing, i.e. permitting non-standard base-pairing at the 3rd anti-codon position.
Source: Rfam by way of RNAcentral